This 253-nucleotide ribosomal RNA is filed under the name uncultured bacterium. Its description in RNAcentral is "partial 16S ribosomal RNA". It matches the Rfam family "Bacterial small subunit ribosomal RNA", at positions 524 to 776 of the family's 1533-position model. The record is from RNAcentral.
GACGGAGGGUGCUAGCGUUGUUCGGAAUUACUGGGCGUAAAGGGCGCGUAGGCGGCCUGCUAAGUCGGUUGUGAAAGCCCGGGGCUCAACCCCGGAACGGCAGCCGAGACUGGCGGGCUCGAGACCGGGAGAGGAGGGUGGAAUACCCAGUGUAGAGGUGAAAUUCGUAGAUAUUGGGUGGAACACCGGUGGCGAAAGCGGCUCUCUAGCCCGGUUCUGACGCUGAGGCGCGACAGCGUGGGGAGCAAACAGG